Molecule: transfer RNA, 68 nt
Filed under: Allodontermes schultzei
Lineage: Eukaryota; Metazoa; Arthropoda; Insecta; Blattodea; Termitidae
Description: tRNA-Met
Source: RNAcentral
AGAAAAGUAAGCUAAUUCAAGCUAAUGGGUUCAUACCCCAUAAAUAGAGUAAACAACUCUCUUCUCUG